This 165-nucleotide ribosomal RNA is filed under the name Acanthostigma sp. RNAcentral describes it as "partial large subunit ribosomal RNA". It matches the Rfam family "Eukaryotic large subunit ribosomal RNA", at positions 99 to 261 of the family's 3401-position model. Lineage: Eukaryota; Fungi; Ascomycota; Dothideomycetes; Tubeufiales; Tubeufiaceae. The record is from RNAcentral.
CGGCAAUAGCUCAAAUUUGAAAUCUGGCUGUUUCACAGUCCGAGUUGUAAUUUGUAGAGGAUGCUUCGGCUUCGGCCCUGGUCUAAGUUCCUUGGAACAGGACGUCACAGAGGGUGAGAAUCCCGUUUGUGGCCGGCGGCCCCCGCCAUGUGAAGCUCCUUCGAC